CGUGGAGACAGGUGGUGCAUGGCUGUCGUCAGCUCGUGUCGUGAGAUGUUGGGUUAAGUCCCGCAACGAGCGCAACCCUCACCUCUUGUUGCCAUCAGGUCAUGCUGGGCACUCUAGAGGAACUGCCCCGGUCAACGGGGAGGAAGGCGGGGAUGACGUCAAGUCAUCAUGCCCCUUACGUCCUGGGCUACACACGUGCUACAAUGGCCGGUACAAAGGGAUGCCACACCGCGAGGUAGAGCUAAACCCAAAAAGCCGGUCUAAGUUCAGAUUGGAGUCUGCAACUCGACUCCAUGAAGGAGGAAUCGCUAGUAAUCGCGUAUCAGCACGACGCGGUGAAUACGUUCCCGGGCCUUGUACACACCGCCCGUCACACCACGAAAGCUGUCUGUACUCGAAGUCGCUGAG
This 408-nucleotide ribosomal RNA is filed under the name uncultured Methylomirabilota bacterium. RNAcentral describes it as "bacterial SSU rRNA". It matches the Rfam family "Bacterial small subunit ribosomal RNA", at positions 1027 to 1434 of the family's 1533-position model. The record is from RNAcentral. Lineage: Bacteria; Methylomirabilota (SeqCode).